GGGCUACCAUGCAGUCGAGCGGUAACGCCCUUCGGUGGACUCSAUCGGUGAACGGUGUGCAGUAACACGUKGGGAUAACCUGSCCUGUMCUCCUGRAUAAGCCUGGAUAAACUAGGUCUAAUACCGGAUACAACKCUKAGGAGGCAUCUGGURGGGUGGAAAGAUCCUGCGGYCUGGGAUGGACCCACGUGCCUAUCAUCUUGUUGGUGGGGUAGUGGCCUACCAAGGCAACUACGGGAAGACGGCCUGAGAGGGUGACCGGAUCACACUGGGACUGAGACACUGACCCACACUCCUACAGUCAGUACAGCAAUGGGGAAUAUUGCACWAUGGGCGAAAGCCUGAUGCACCGACGCCGCSUGAGGGAUGACGUCCUUCAGGGUUGUAAACCUCUUUCAUCAUGUCACGAAGCGAGAAUGACAGUACCUGCAAUAACAAGCACCGGCUAACUACAUGCCAGCAGCCGCGGCAAUACAUAUGGUGCGAGCGUUGUCCGGAAUUAUUGAGGCGUAAAGAGCUCGUACGCAGUUUGUUGCGUCAGCCGUGAAAACUUCACGCUUAACGUGCAGACCUGCRARUCCAUACGGCUCAGACUUGAGUUCGGCAGGGGAGACUGGAAUUCCUGGUGUAGCGAGAGAAAUGCACAAAUAUCAGGAUGAACACCGAAUGGCGAAGGCAUCUCUCUGGAUCCAUACUGACACUGAGGACCCAAAGCGUGAGGAGCGAACUCGAUUACAUACCCUGGUAGUCCACVCCGUAUACGAUGCC
Molecule: ribosomal RNA, 768 nt
Filed under: actinobacterium 00YDQ
Lineage: Bacteria; Bacillati; Actinomycetota; Actinomycetes
Description: bacterial SSU rRNA
Rfam family: Bacterial small subunit ribosomal RNA
Source: RNAcentral